This is a long non-coding RNA of Eleginops maclovinus (Patagonian blennie), 564 nucleotides long. RefSeq lists it as uncharacterized. The record is from RefSeq and is a predicted model, not a curated record. NCBI's taxonomy places the organism in Eukaryota, Metazoa, Chordata, Actinopteri, Perciformes, Eleginopidae. The transcript is spliced from 3 exons.
CUUUCGCCGUGUGACACACGCACGCCACACAUCCGAUUUCUCACGCAAAAAUAAAGAAAAUCUGGCGACCCGGGUUCGAUUCCCGACACGUGGUCCUUUCAGGAUCCCACCCCGACUCUCUCUCCCACUUUCCUGUCACUCUCCCCCCCAAAAAAAGAAAAUCCGAUUUUGGGCCGAGAAUCGUUCGUUCCUUUCCAAACUCUCCGACGGUAGAUGGCGCUAAUGAGCGCCACUGAACUCUAUCCUGCACCCAUAUAUGCUGCAUCCCCGAAGUUAGCGACAAAAGAAGAGAUACCGAAAGAGACAGCGGGAGAAACUACCUCGAGAAGUCUGAUGAGAAUCUGAGCUGAGACUACUUACGAGGCCAAAGAAAAGGACUCACUGUGGAUGAAGACUUUUCUGUAGGACCAAACAGCACUUCGAACAGGAGUGGCAAAGAUGAACCCGCUUACUGUCCGGGUCUUCAUGGGCAGCAAUGUUGUCCACCAGUUUUUGAAUAUGUGCACAACAAGUGGGACGAGAUGUGCGACAGCAAGUGAGAUCUUCACCAAAAUUAACACCGCC